Regulatory RNA element from Fusobacterium varium ATCC 27725, 83 nucleotides. It matches the Rfam family "NiCo (Nickel/Cobalt) riboswitch aptamer". The record is from Rfam. Lineage: Bacteria; Fusobacteriati; Fusobacteriota; Fusobacteriia; Fusobacteriales; Fusobacteriaceae.
ACAGUACAGACUGAUCAGGUCAUAAGACCGGGCUGUUAAAAAAACAGCAGCAGAUGAAAUUAACAGCAUCUGUGGGACAAGUG